UGAUAGGCUGGGUGUGAAAGCGUUGUGAGGCGUUGAGCUAACCAGUACUAAUUGCCCGUGAGGCUUGACCAUAUAACACCCAAACA
This 86-nucleotide ribosomal RNA is filed under the name Pseudomonas aeruginosa. RNAcentral describes it as "partial 23S ribosomal RNA". The record is from RNAcentral. Lineage: Bacteria; Pseudomonadati; Pseudomonadota; Gammaproteobacteria; Pseudomonadales; Pseudomonadaceae.